UAGGGAAUCUUCCACAAUGGACGCAAGUCUGAUGGAGCAACGCCGCGUGAGUGAAGAAGGUUUUCGGAUCGUAAAGCUCUGUUGUUGGUGAAGAAGGAUAGAGGUAGUAACUGGCCUUUAUUUGACGGUAAUCAACCAGAAAGUCACGGCUAACUACGUGCCAGCAGCCGCGGUAAUACGUAGGUGGCAAGCGUUGUCCGGAUUUAUUUGGCGUAAAGCGAGCGCAGGCGGAAGAAUAAGUCUGAUGUGAAAGCCCUCGGCUUAACCGAGGAACUGCAUCGGAAACUGUUUUUCUUGAGUGCAGAAGAGGAGAGUGGAAUUCCAUGUGUAGCGGUGGAAUGCGUAGAUAUAUGGAAGAACACCAGUGGCGAAGGCGACUCUCUGGUCUGCAACUGACGCUGAGGCUCGAAAGCAUGGGUAGCGAACAGG
This 429-nucleotide ribosomal RNA is filed under the name bacterium. RNAcentral's name for it is "partial 16S ribosomal RNA". It matches the Rfam family "Bacterial small subunit ribosomal RNA", at positions 355 to 776 of the family's 1533-position model. The record is from RNAcentral.